RNAcentral lists this ribosomal RNA (1945 nucleotides) under Triticum aestivum (bread wheat). Its description in RNAcentral is "partial small subunit ribosomal RNA". Lineage: Eukaryota; Viridiplantae; Streptophyta; Magnoliopsida; Poales; Poaceae. The record is from RNAcentral.
GCCUGGAACCUUCGUGAUGCACCGGACGUGGCCGUUAAACCCUGUCCACCAAGCUUUGUCGUGUCUAUCUUACCCGGGGCACUGGAAACGCCUCGUGUAUCUCGGUGCCCCCUGACGGAGCGGUAGGGGAAGUGUCUGCGAGUGGCGCCGCCGGCGAGACAAGAAGGUGUAUGCGCGUGGUGUCGCCGCUGAGACCUGGCCGCUCUACAGGUGGCUGCCGGAGCUCGAGCUUCCGCGGCCGGCCAACCUUACCAAGAGAGGUGGGUCACCUCAGUGUCCUAAGGUACUCACGCCGGCUCCAGCUCUAGCUGUUCCCGCCGUUUCGUGUCGUUCUACCUCUACGUCGGUCUAUGCUCCACACGAGACUUCGAUGCUCACCGACCUGUGCUUCCAAUCACUCUAUAGGAAACACUAAAACGUAGACAAGUCGUCCCAAACGUAGCAUGGACAUAGUCAAUCAACUAAAACCGAACGAUCGCGUCGUCAAGUAGGGUUCCCUUCAAAACACCGACCUGUGCUCAUAAAGCAGAUCGUACGUCAAAUCAAAGACAGGUAAAAGCCACCAUGUCUAAGCCAACCGAAAUGUGAAUACCAACCAUCAAGUUCAACACCAACAAACGUAUAUAUCACUAGACUUUCGAUUAACCCACUGUCUGACUGUCAAACUAAAGUUAUCAAUACCCACCACCAAGCUAAAGUGGUGUAUACCACAAUCAAAGGUCUACAAAAAUCCACGUUUCACCCCACCCAUACCAUCACGAUUAACCAAACAGUCAUAUGCGAAGAACCAAAAUCAAAGUUACGAUUAACCUAACAGUCUAGUAUAUGAAAAAACCCCGUGCACUAGGAUUCGACCCACGAUUAAACCUAAACAAUUACCUACAUGCUAAACACCUGCACUCCUUUACCCUGAUCCAGUUCGAAAGUAAGUCAAAGAAUCGUAAGAACCAUGUACUGGUUUCACCCUAAGUCAUGUACCGGUUUACCUAAUGGGGCUGUUUUUACACCAACGGUAGUCUAAAUCCAACCACAGUUAGUCAUCCUCUUUAGAACACACACUACUCGAAGCUAAGUGACCUUCCGCGUCCCCCCGAAAAAACUAAACAUCCACCUAGCGGACUCUCGUGUUGACUAACAUAAUCGCAAGCGUAAAUGUAUUAACGUCAUUCUUAGACUUGUUUAGUCUCAGUGAUAGUGGUAAAACAACACACAGAACCAAAACAAUGAAUGGCCUGCCAAGCGAGCUCCUUACGACUCCGUUUGACUAACACGUAUCCAACAACAAAAGUCAUUUAACCGUACAAAAAAUCUAAUGGGACAAUAGAUGGUCUUGCUAUAAGUUUUACCAACAAGGUAUGUUUCUAAUGAACCGUACCGUACGGGAAAUAAGUUAAGUGUCUGGCGGGACUGUUUAAAAACAAAGAUUAUACAAGACGGCUCUUUGCCAAAGGUCCCUAUCUUAGCCCUUUCGCGGUCUACUCUCCCUCUACUUGGGACUGUUUGUUGCGAACUUAACAGACAAACGUGAAUACGGCUUCACGUGUUUGACACCCCACCAACCUAUAGCGUCGUUACGUACACCAUGAUUUUUCUCGACUGGCAAACUCGGAUUGAAGGAGAUCUAACUUUGACCGACACUACAAACUACGGUAGUUCAGAGGUACACCAACACACCACCAUUAAAGAGAUAAACCCUACAGACUUAAAAUUAAACACGAUGGUUGUCAUUAAGAGGACUACAGACAAUUGAAGUAGACUUAAAACGACACACUAACGUCAAGACAACGAACCAGUUGAUUUAAAAAACAAAAUGAUGACUACCCCACCGGACAAGAAUAAAAACAGUUUUUGAUACAACAAAAACGACAGCUUCCGUCAUCUCGCAGACAUUAAGGUCACGAACCGAACAAUCCGUCCUUCGACUUUUAAUUUUAAUAUUCUACUA